GACGAACGCUGGCGGCGUGCCUAACACAUGCAAGUGGAGCGACGAACCAGGGCUCGCCCUGGGGCCAAGCCGCGAACGGGUGAGUAACACGUGGGUAACCUGCCCCGAUGACCGGGACAACCCGAGGAAACUCGGGCUAAUACCGGAUGUGGUGGACACACUUAAGUGUGUCCACUAAAGGAAGCUUCGGCCUCCGCAUUGGGAUGGGCCCGCGGCCCAUUAGCUAGUUGGUGGGGUAAAGGCCUACCAAGGCAACGAUGGGUAGCUGGUCUGAGAGGACGAUCAGCCACACUGGGACUGAGACACGGCCCAGACUCCUACGGGAGGCAGCAGUGGGGAAUCUUGCGCAAUGCGCGAAAGCGUGACGCAGCAACGCCGCGUGAGGGAAGACGGCCU
Molecule: ribosomal RNA, 396 nt
Filed under: uncultured bacterium
Lineage: Bacteria
Description: bacterial SSU rRNA
Rfam family: Bacterial small subunit ribosomal RNA
Source: RNAcentral